This is a long non-coding RNA of Felis catus (domestic cat), 2243 nucleotides long. RefSeq lists it as uncharacterized. The record is from RefSeq and is a predicted model, not a curated record. The transcript has 4 exons. Lineage: Eukaryota; Metazoa; Chordata; Mammalia; Carnivora; Felidae.
AAAAGCCCCUCAUAUGGAAACAUACUCGCCUCUGCAGGGCCCAGAGUCGGGGCUGAGGCUCCCCGGGUGAUAACUCAUGCAGCAUGGGUCGCUUGGGCAGGGGGGGCAUGGCUGAAAUACUGUUCUCGGGCUCUGCCCCUGACAGCCUGCUUCUUUCCAAUUACCCUGGUGACUGCAGUGAUAAAUCCUGUCCGCCCAAGUCUGGAUGCUGGGCACGCUGGGCCCUACCUCCUCCCUUCUGAGUGGACCCUGGGCCUUCUUCCUUGCAGACCCUCCUGCCCCUGACUCUGUAGGACAGAGGAGCCAGGUGCCCUAAUGCUUUGUUCUGGGCUAAAUUGUGCCCCCCUCCCCCACCCCAUUCAUAGGCAGAAGUCCUAGCUCCCAGCACCUCCCAAUGUGGCUGUCUGUGGAGGUGGGGUUUUCAGAGGCGUGAUUAAGUAACAAGAGAUCACUAGGGUGGGCCCUAAUUCAGUAUGAUUGUUGUCCUUGCGGGAAGAGGAAAUGUGGGGACACCUGGGUGGCUCAGUCCGUUGAGCAUUGCGACUCAGGUCCUGAUCUUGCGGGUUCGUGAGUUCAAGACCCACGUCCGGGGGCUGUGCUGACAGCUCAGAUCCUGGAGCUUGCUUCAGAUUCUCUGUCUCCCUCUCUCUCUGCUUCUUGCCUGCUCAUGUCAUGGAAACACGCACGUGGCAGUGUGCCCACCACAGAGAGAGGCCACAGAAGAAACCAGCCUGCCUGACACCUUGCUCCUGGACUCCCAACCUCCAGGACUGUGACGGGACAGGAGAAAUCCCUGUUGUUCAAGCUGCCAGGUCAGGGGCGGCCCGGGCCCGUUAAGUGGCACGUGCUCCCACCGGGCCCUGGGACCUUGGGGCCAGCCCACGAUGACGUAGCACUCGUUUGCAAGCUUUAUUUCCUUGACCGCACGGCUGAUUUUUCCACAUGAAACCCUAUGUCGCUCCUCAAAUGUAUAACAGAAAAGUGGGAGUGUUCUGGCUGUGCUGUUCAGCAUCCUUAUUCUCAACGCCCCUGCAGCCCCGGGCGCUUUCCUUAGAGGACCCUGUAAACACCCCUGCACAGAAGAGUGCUACUCAUUUUGCAGAAGAGUAACUUCUGCAGAAAAACGUGAAAUGUGUUACUUCUUUUCCUCUCGGUGCUGCUAUAUGCCUCAUGGCUCCAGAGAAUCAGUGCAGUCCAGAGUCAGGAGAUGCGGUGUAGAGUGGAACGCUGGGUUUGCAGGCCCAUGCCAGGGCUCAAGUCCCUCCUCUCCACUCCCUGGCCAAGUGCCAUUUGAACAGGUCACCUGAGCUCUACGAGCCACGUUUUCUCCUCUGUAAAGCGGCACAAGGUGCUGAGAUUGUGCAUGAGUCCAGAAGCCGCCUUGUAGAAUAAACAUGAGUUUCGGAGUCAGACAGUUCCACGUUUGAACCCGGCUCUGCUGCCUCGUAGCUGUGUGGCCUUGGGGAUGAACUUCCCGGAGCUGGCUGGCAGCUGUGCGUUCUGCAGGAGCAGCCCCCUGGCCCCAGAAAUGCAAUAAAACGAGAACACGCCUCAUGUUGCAGGGGGCUGUCUAUCAUCCUGGAGUUUCAGUGUUUCAGAAUCGCAGCGGCCACAGCUUUUGGGAGAAAAGAUCACAGGUCCUUGGUGUUCAGCAUGGUUUUCUCAGCAAGGAUCCCGACCAGUAGGAGCUGCUCAGAAGUGUAUGUCCUGCCCACCCCGCCCCUUCCAGGGCCCCCUGCAUUAGACACUGCAGUUGGGGGCCAGCAGCUGACCCCUGACAAGCCCUCCAGGGAAUAAUUCAUCGCGUGUGCCCUGCACGGCUGGGAGAGAGCUGGGGAAGUGGGCAUGUGAGAGGCUCAGCUACCGGAUUUCUUCCCUUACAGCCCGGCUGCCAUAGGCUAGGAUCACCUUUCUCUGCAUCGUCUUAACUAAGGUCAGCCCUGGUGUCUGUUCAAACGACAAACGCUCAGUCCCCUUGACCUUUAGGAAUCUAUCCUGGUACAAACGAAAUGGCCAGAAUGUUAGGAUAUGUGUGCAAAGAUAUUUACUGGUGUGUUGUCUGCCCUGGCAAUAAUUGGAAACAUUACUUUACCAAUAGGUGAAUAAUAGAAUCAAUUCGGGCACAUUCAGUAUUAUGGAACAUCAUGGGUCAUUACGAAGAAUUAGGUAGAUCUCCCUGUAUUGAUCUGGGAGGCACACUAUCUAUUGUUCAGCAAUAAAGCAACUUGCUGAUUCAUACCUGU